This is a long non-coding RNA of Drosophila rhopaloa, 327 nucleotides long. RefSeq lists it as uncharacterized. The transcript is spliced from 2 exons. NCBI's taxonomy places the organism in Eukaryota, Metazoa, Arthropoda, Insecta, Diptera, Drosophilidae. The record is from RefSeq and is a predicted model, not a curated record.
CGCAAAUGUUGCUGUUAAUAUUACUCAUAUUUCUUAGUGGGUUUUCCUCACCAAUAAGUGCCAAAAGUCCGCCCGAGUGUAGCUUGCCGCACAGCAUAGGAGAAACGAGGGCAGAAGCUUUCUUAAUGUACACCUACAACCAAAAAAUAUAUGAAUGCAUCCCUUUUGUUUACUCAGGAUCUGGAGGCAAUAAGAAUCGCUUCUGGUCGAAAAGGGAUUGCGUGGAGACUUGUCUGGCCUCAAAUGAAGAAUAAAUAGCAAAUAAAAUAUUCCAAAUAUUGAACUUCUUUGACAGUCUUAAACAUUAAAGUUAAAUCAAAUUAGAAA